GCCAGGCAUGGUGGCGUGUGCCUGUAAUUCCAGCUACUCAGGAAGCUGAGACAGGAGAAUCGCUUGAACCCGGGAGGUGCGGGUUGCAGUGAACUGAGAUCACGCCACUGCAGUGCAGCCUGGGUAACAGAGCGAGACCCCGUCUCAA
This 148-nucleotide small RNA is filed under the name Pongo abelii (Sumatran orangutan). Its description in RNAcentral is "Metazoan signal recognition particle RNA (ENSPPYG00000034084.1)". The record is from Rfam by way of RNAcentral. Lineage: Eukaryota; Metazoa; Chordata; Mammalia; Primates; Hominidae.